CCUACGGGGGGCAGCAGUGGGGAAUAUUGCACAAUGGGGGAAACCCUGAUGCAGCGACGCCGCGUGAGUGAUGAAGUAUUUCGGUAUGUAAAGCUCUAUCAGCAGGGAAGAUAAUGACGGUACCUGACUAAGAAGCUCCGGCUAAAUACGUGCCAGCAGCCGCGGUAAUACGUAUGGAGCAAGCGUUAUCCGGAUUUACUGGGUGUAAAGGGAGCGCAGACGGCAGGGCAAGUCUGAUGUGAAAGUCCGGGGCUCAACCCCGGGACUGCAUUGGAAACUGUCCGGCUAGAGUGCAGGAGAGGUAAGUGGAAUGCCUAGUGUAGCGGUGAAAUGCGUAGAUAUUAGGAGGAACACCAGUGGCGAAGGCGGCAUGCCGGCUCCACACUGACGCUGAGGCACGAAAGCGUGGGUAUCGAACAGGAUUAGAUACCCCGGUAGUC
Molecule: ribosomal RNA, 440 nt
Filed under: uncultured bacterium
Lineage: Bacteria
Description: partial 16S ribosomal RNA
Rfam family: Bacterial small subunit ribosomal RNA
Source: RNAcentral